UAAUAGUACGCAGAUCGCUCCUCUAAUUUCAAUAAAUUUACCUGUUAGAUUUUGCAUACUACUACAUAAUCAGAUCUGGUCGCGUUAUGUCUUGUGCCUCGUAUCUUUAUGAGUGUUUUAUUUAAAUAACUCGAACGUUAAUUAUAAAUUAUAAUCGUAAUAGUCUUUGGUUAUUUUAGUACACAGCAGAAAAUAUAGGUACGCAAUUUUAUGCGAUUAACUUUUUGUUCGUUUACUAAGUCAUGAAGAUAAUAUGAUAUUGAGAAGUAUUACUUGUGUACGAGUUCGUAG
RNAcentral lists this unclassified non-coding RNA (291 nucleotides) under Bombus terrestris (buff-tailed bumblebee). RNAcentral's name for it is "misc RNA ENSBTSG00005024546.1". The record is from RNAcentral. Lineage: Eukaryota; Metazoa; Arthropoda; Insecta; Hymenoptera; Apidae.